GCACCUUCUCCAUCUGUCAUUGAAGCAGUCUCAGAAGCUUGAUAAUCCUUGUCCCUGU
RNAcentral lists this small RNA (58 nucleotides) under Arabidopsis thaliana (thale cress). RNAcentral's name for it is "ATSL080800". The record is from RNAcentral. Lineage: Eukaryota; Viridiplantae; Streptophyta; Magnoliopsida; Brassicales; Brassicaceae.